UACGGGAGGCAGCAGUGGGGAAUAUUGCACAAUGGGCGCAAGCCUGAUGCAGCCAUGCCGCGUGUAUGAAAAAGGCCUUCGGGUUGUAAAGUACUUUCAGUCGUGAGGAAGGUGUUAAGGUUAAUAACCUUAGCAAUUGACGUUAGCGACAGAAGAAGCACCGGCUAACUCCGUGCCAGCAGCCGCGGUAAUACGGAGGGUGCGAGCGUUAAUCGGAAUUACUGGGCGUAAAGGGCACGCAGGCGGUUAAUUAAGUUGGAUGUGAAAUCCCCGGGCUUAACCUGGGAAUGGCAUUCAAGACUGGUUAGCUAGAGUCUUGUAGAGGGGGUAGAAUUCCAUGUGUAGCGGUGAAAUGCGUAGAGAUGUGGAGGAAUACCGGUGGCGAAGGCGGCCCCUGGACAAAGGGACUGACGCUCAUGUGCGAAAGCGUGGGGAGCAAACGAGGGAUUAGAUACCCUCUCUGGCCCAAGGGCACA
Molecule: ribosomal RNA, 476 nt
Filed under: uncultured bacterium
Lineage: Bacteria
Description: bacterial SSU rRNA
Rfam family: Bacterial small subunit ribosomal RNA
Source: RNAcentral